Molecule: long non-coding RNA, 507 nt
Organism: Heterocephalus glaber (naked mole-rat)
Lineage: Eukaryota; Metazoa; Chordata; Mammalia; Rodentia; Bathyergidae
Source: Ensembl
AAACUGGCGCAGGGCUACGGGGGCGUCUCCCUCUAAUUCCCUUUUCUUUUUCUUGGGGUUUCCCCUAAUGACUUAGGGGGCGGAACUGAUCAGGGUCUUUGUACCAAGGAUCAAACUCAGGACCCUUGUGCUUACCAGGCAGGCGCACCACCUCUGAGCUAAAUCCCCAGCCCUUUCAGCUAAUCUUUACAUAUUUGUUAAUUUACUCAGAAGGACUGUUUCUAACAAUGCCAUGGGCAAUGGACUCUGGUGAACAGAACAUUACUCAGCCUUCAAACAACAUCUGGCAUCUGGCUGUCCCCCAAACUGAGAUGGAUGAUGAAAGCACAUGACCUGAUGAGUGUCCCCAAAUAAUUCUCCUUACAUUAAAAUCAAAUAUAAAGGUCCCUGAUUUUCUCUGUCGAUAGAUUCUUUGCUUAGAAUUCACCCUCUGCUCUCUUGCAGUGUAUCAAAAAACUCUUCAACUGUUCUAUAUUCCUAUGACUACUGAUAAAUCCUUUUUUUUGG